RNAcentral lists this ribosomal RNA (658 nucleotides) under uncultured archaeon. RNAcentral describes it as "bacterial SSU rRNA". It matches the Rfam family "Archaeal small subunit ribosomal RNA", at positions 1 to 664 of the family's 1478-position model. The record is from RNAcentral.
UUUCCGGUUGAUCUCGCCGGAAGCCACUGCUAUUGGGGUUCGACUAAGCCAUGCGAGUCUAUGGACUUCGGUCCAUGGCGGACGGCUCAGUAACACGUGGCUAACCUACCCUCAGGUGGGGGAUAACCUCGGGAAACUGAGGGUAAUACCCCAUAGGGGAAGAGGUCUGGAAUGAUCCUUCCUUGAAAGGACAUCCGCCUGAGGAUGGGGCUGCGUCCGAUUAGGUAGUUGGUGGGGUAAUGGCCCACCAAGCCUACGACCGGUAUGGGCCUUGAGAGAGGAAGCCCGGAGAUGGGGACUGAGACACGGCCCCGGGCCCUAUGGGGCGCAGCAGGCGCGAAACCUCCACAAUGCACGAAAGUGCGAUGGGGGAACCCCAAGUGCCUAUGCACAGCAUAGGCUUUUCCCAAGUGUAAACAGCUUGGGGAAUAAGAGCUGGGCAAGUCCGGUGCCAGCAGCCGCGGUAACACCGGCGGCCCGAGUGGUGGCCACUCUUAUUGGGCCUAAAGCGUCCGUAGCCGGUCCAGUAAGUCCCUGUUUAAAUCCUACGGCUCAACCGUAGGGCUGGCAGGGAUACUGCUGGACUUGGGACCGGGAGAGGACGAGGGUACUCCAGGGGGUAGCGGUGAAAUGUGUUGAUCCCUGGAGGACCACCUAU